CUUGGGGUGGGGGUCCCUCAGCCCAGAUUUCAAGAGGGCACAGGCCAGGCCGAGGGACCCCACUGGUGCAUG
Non-coding RNA from Myotis lucifugus (little brown bat), 72 nucleotides. The record is from Rfam. NCBI's taxonomy places the organism in Eukaryota, Metazoa, Chordata, Mammalia, Chiroptera, Vespertilionidae.